GUGGCAGCAGCCGCGGUAAAACCAGCACCUCAAGUGGUCAGGAUGAUUAUUGGGCCUAAAGCAUCCGUAGCCGGCUCCGUAAGUUUUCGGUUAAAUCUGUACGCUUAACGUACAGGCUGCCGGGAAUACUGCAGAGCUAGGGAGUGGGAGAGGUAGACGGUACUCGGGAGGAAGUGGUAAAAUGCUUUGAUCUCUCGAUGACCACCUGUGGCGAAGGCGGUCUACCAGAACACGUCCGACGGUGAGGGAUGAAAGCUGGGGGAGCAAACCGGAUUAGAUACCCGGGUAGUCCCAGCUGUAAACUAUGCAAACUCAGUGAUGCAUUGGCUUGUGGCCAAUGCAGUGUUGCAGGGAAGCCGUUAAGUUUGCCGCCUGGGAAGUACGUACGCAAGUAUGAAACUUAAAGGAAUUGGCGGGGGAGCACCACAAGGGGUGAAGCCUGCGGUUCAAUUGGAGUCAACGCCAGAAAUCUUACCCGAGGAGACAGCAGAAUGAAGGUCAAGCUGGAGACUUUACCAGACAAGCUGAGAAGUGGUGCAUGGCCGUCGCCAGCUCGUGCCGUGAGAUGUCCUGUUAAGUCAGGUAACGAGCGAGAUCCCUGCCUCUAGUUGCCACCAUUACUCUCAGGAGUAGUGGGGCGAAUUAGAGGGACCGCCACAGUUAAUGUGGAGGAAGGAAGGGGCCACGGCAGGUCAGUAUGCCCUGAAACCUUGGGGCCACACGCGGGCUGCAAUGGUAGUGACAAUGAGUUUCCUAAUCCGAAAGGAGGAGGCAAUCUUCAAACGCUACCACAGUUAUGAUUGAGGGCUGCAACUCGCCCUCAUGAAUAUGGAAUCCCUAGUAACCGCGUGUCAUUACCGCGCAGUGAAUACGUCCCUGCUCCUUGCACACACUGCCCGUC
This 901-nucleotide ribosomal RNA is filed under the name uncultured archaeon. Its description in RNAcentral is "bacterial SSU rRNA". It matches the Rfam family "Archaeal small subunit ribosomal RNA", at positions 455 to 1354 of the family's 1478-position model. The record is from RNAcentral.